GUGCUUGCUUCUGCAGCACAUAUAUUAAAAUUGGAACUAUACAAAGAAGAUGCACGAUGAUGACAUGCAAAUUCGUGAAGUGUUACAUUAAAAA
RNAcentral lists this small nuclear RNA (94 nucleotides) under Castor canadensis (American beaver). The record is from RNAcentral. Lineage: Eukaryota; Metazoa; Chordata; Mammalia; Rodentia; Castoridae.